GACGAACGCUGGCGGCGUGCUUAACACGUGCAAGUCGAACGAUGACGCCCGAGCUUGCUCGGUCUGAUUAGUGGCGAACGGGUGAGUAACACGUGAGCAACCUGCCCUUCACUCUGGGAUAACCUCGGGAAAUCGGGGCUAAUACCGGAUAUGAGCUCCUGUCGCAUGGCGGGUGUUGGAAAGUUUUUCGGUGAAGGAUGGGCUCGCGGCCUAUCAGUCUGUUGGUGAGGUAGUGGCUCACCAAGGCGAUGACGGGUAGCCGGCCUGAGAGGGCGACCGGCCACACUGGGACUGAGACACGGCCCAGACUCCUACGGGAGGCAGCAGUGGGGAAUAUUGCACAAUGGGCGAAAGCCUGAUGCAGCGACGCCGCGUGAGGGAUGACGGCCUUCGGGUUGUAAACCUCUUUCAGCAGGGAAGAAGCGAAAGUGACGGUACCUGCAGAAGAAGCGCCGGCUAACUACGUG
RNAcentral lists this ribosomal RNA (467 nucleotides) under uncultured bacterium. Its description in RNAcentral is "partial 16S ribosomal RNA". It matches the Rfam family "Bacterial small subunit ribosomal RNA", at positions 28 to 507 of the family's 1533-position model. The record is from RNAcentral.